CUGUUCUGCUGACUGUCUUGCUCAGCUGGGGUCAUCUGCUCCUCUAAGACAUCAAGGAAUGCCAAGCUGGUCGUGAUGUCUGAGCCAACAGGCAUCUAAUAGUUCCCUAAAUUCUGUCCUGUUCAUCCCCAUGCGCUGCCACCGCUACUACAGAAGCCUGAUGGUGGCAGCUCCACAGAAGACCAAUGGAAAGGAGGAUACAAAGAGGCGAUUUGCUUGAUGGCCUCCACUGAAGACCUGGAGAACAUAACGAAGAUGGGCCAGGGCUGGAACCAGCUCCCACAAGCUUCCUGUUCUCAGCCUGAGGCGGGACCAAGCCCAAUAAGAAUUUGACAGUUCAAGAAUCAGCUCUUGAAAGCAAUCAUUUGUCACCGCAGGGCUAUGCAAAAUCGUACCUGCAAAUACAUGGUAAGACUAAACAGAAUGCAAAAGCACAGUACUGGGUGGUCAAAGGGAAAUGACCACAGAACAGCAUCUGGAGACCUGCAUAGUUUCUGAGCCUCCUGCCCACUUCAGCCUGGAAUAAGGCCUUCAGGAAGCAAGGGAGCGGAAGGAAGGGAGGAAGAGAAAUAUCAAUUGGCUGCCUUCCGAAUGCACCCUGACUGGGGACUGAACCUGCACCCAGGCAUGUGCUGUGACCUGGGAACUGAACCAGUGACCUUUCAGUUUGUGGGACAAUGCCCAACCAGCUGAGCCAUACCAGUCAGGGCGAUUUAAAGUUUAUUAAUUAUUCUCUUUCCAUGACACCAUGCCUUACUCUCUGUGUCUAAAACAUUGCUAGAGAAUAGUGCUGAUGGGAAGGGAGGCACUUCCAACAAAAGAACCGAUCUUUUGUCCUUUUGCCCCCUAAAUAUAUGGCAGAUGGUAGGUCCUGCAAGGGGAUUACUCCAUACUUGAAGCUAAAGGGAGAGAGAGCCCCAGGGACAAAUAUUACAGCCCAAGUGUUUCAAGGUAUAGAGUUUCUUAUAUGUAAUAGGUCCUUAUUUAUUUGAUUUAUUUUUAUAUAUUAAUAUAUAAUAAAGAAUU
Molecule: long non-coding RNA, 1026 nt
Organism: Artibeus jamaicensis (Jamaican fruit-eating bat)
Lineage: Eukaryota; Metazoa; Chordata; Mammalia; Chiroptera; Phyllostomidae
Exons: 5
Source: RefSeq, a predicted model, not a curated record